GAUUCCCUCUGGUAUUUUUUUGCCAAAACUUAAAACUCUUUCAUCCCUCUCUCUCUUCUCUCUUGCGAUACCUACUCUGCUCCCUCACAAAUUUCAGACUUUCCCUCAAAAAAUUUCAGACUUUCCCCCAAAAAUUUCAGUCUCCCUUACAAAAAAUUUACCCUACAUGCCCUCAAUUGCAAUCGAACUCCAAACUCUAUCUUCUCUCUCUCCUAUCUCCUCCAUCUGAUGUUUCGAUUUUGAGAAACGACCUUGAGCUAGUGAGAUCCUAUUCUAAAAGCAACUUUUGAGACCAUGAACUCCUCAGGGAGCAUACUUUCAUCCCUUUUUCAUUCAAAAGAACAUCUCUGUUGGUGCCUCCGGUGCUCUUUUUGGGCUUCUUGGAGCAAUGGUUUCAGAACUGAUUACCAAUUGGACUAUUUAUACCAACAAGGAAUCAUAUAUUGUGUGAGUGAGAAUGUCAAUGUGAAGUUGGUUGGAUACAGAAACUUAUCCAAAGCCAGAGAAGGCAGAAUUUAGUGUUCAUUUGUAUAUCACUCUCAGGGAUUGUUUCAUAGGUCUCACAUACUAGAAGGCUUUUAGUGUUCAUUUUUAUCUAUCACUCUCAGGGAUGGCAGAAUUAAAUUAUUUGGCAAAGAUAACACUCAAGCUCUGCAGUACCAAGCAAGUUUUUACAGUUUGUGGAGAACCAAGGCAUGCUUGUAAAUGUGAAUUCCAAGAACCAUAUUGAGGCAAGU
Prunus persica (peach) is the source of this 737-nucleotide long non-coding RNA. RefSeq lists it as uncharacterized. NCBI's taxonomy places the organism in Eukaryota, Viridiplantae, Streptophyta, Magnoliopsida, Rosales, Rosaceae. The transcript is spliced from 5 exons. The record is from RefSeq and is a predicted model, not a curated record.